This 696-nucleotide long non-coding RNA is filed under the name Olea europaea subsp. europaea. The record is from RNAcentral. Lineage: Eukaryota; Viridiplantae; Streptophyta; Magnoliopsida; Lamiales; Oleaceae.
UACCCUUACAUGUAAUUGGCAUAAAGGAAUUGACAAAAUAAGCCUCUGCCGAAAAUCCAACCGCUCUGCAUACCACGUAAUUAUUGUUCUAAUUCUUGAUUUAUGGGUUUGUUCAACUUUCUCGAUCUCCACCAAUUCCAAUUCUUUCACUUAAGGUUUCUGCGAGCUCCAUUUCUUCAUAACCGUUCAAAGAUUCAUCAAAGUGGAUCAUCCACCCAGCUUAGUUAUUUGGUAAUCACAGUCUAUAGUUACAAAACAAUCUAUGCAUUGUAUCUGGUUCUUAUACUUCUCAGUUUGAUUCAAGAUUUUAAAGAGCCACACUCUUUCCUGGUUGGGAUUGCUUUUCUGGAGAAAUCUUGGAUUCCCGUUUGAAAUUUUUUUUUAAUUUUGUUGUACUGGGUUGUGAUCGAAAUAAGAUUCAGAGUUUGAAUUCUUGAGGCUCUCCUGGAUGGACAUGGGUGAAGUUUUGGAUUUUUGAAUAAUUUUAUACUUCAUGGCAUUUCGAUGUUUUGAAAUUGCAGUUACAAAAUUACUGUUUGUUGAUAUUACUGAUUGCAGCUAAAUUUGGUGUGAUGGUGAUUGGUUGGUAAAUGGUUAGUGUAUUGAUUGGUUUUCUAUGGCAAUAAGGUUUCCAGUGAAUUGAGUGCCCUACAAGGGAUCUCUAAUGGUAAUCUUGAUUCCAAUUUUUGAAGUUAU